This is an RNA transcript of Erigeron canadensis, 2057 nucleotides long. It is a transcript of the gene named transcription factor TCP24-like, with no coding region annotated. The transcript has 3 exons. NCBI's taxonomy places the organism in Eukaryota, Viridiplantae, Streptophyta, Magnoliopsida, Asterales, Asteraceae. The record is from RefSeq and is a predicted model, not a curated record.
GCCUUGCUUUUUUCUGUAUGUUUAUGACACUGUAAAAAGAUAAGCUUUAAACGGAGCUUCCCCUUCUGACAUAUUUUUCUGGCCUGCAAAACCUCUUGUGAACCUGAUACAUCAAACCAAACCCACAAAAUAUAUACAAACAUCUUCUAUAUCUAUAUGUACUCAUCAAGUCAUAUGUAUGUUCACAGUAAAAUAUUUGUCAUCAAUGCAAUAGUACAGUAACAACAACUAGCUGGCUCUUUCUAACUUUUCUUUUUCUCUUUCUCUUUAAUUAGCUAUAUACAUUUAUAUAAGUAUAUAUAUAUAUAUAUAUAUUUUCUUUCUGAGAGAAAGGGAAAAAAAAAAAAGAUCUAGCUAGGUAGUACUAUUGGGGGGUGGAAACACAAGGUAUGAAAGAAGAAGAAGAAGAAGAAGAAGAAUAUGGAGGUUGAUGAGAGUUUUCAAACACAAGUUAGUAAGUUUCAAAGAAUCUGUUGCAAUAAUAAUAAUAAUAAUGAAAAAAUAGAUAAUAAUAUUGAUAGUAGUAGUAACAACCAAAUAGGUAUAAUUAGUAAUAAUAAUAAUAGGAAUAAAGUAAGUAGUAGAUAUGAAGCAGCAGCAACAGAUGGGAGGUGGCCAUCAUCAAGAAUUGUUAGGGUUUCAAGAGGUUCUGGUGGUAAAGAUAGGCAUAGCAAAGUGUUGACAUCAAAAGGGUUGCGAGAUCGGCGCGUACGGCUUUCGGUACCGACGGCUAUUCAGUUUUAUGAUUUGCAAGAUCGGUUAGGGUAUGACCAGCCUAGUAAAGCCGUGGAGUGGCUGAUUAAAGCUGCUGAGAGUUCUAUUGCUGAGCUUCCGUCACUCGAUCCGUCUUUUGUCCAUUUCAAUAAUAUCAACAGUAGCAAUAAUAAUGUUGUUGCUUAUGAAAAGAAAUUAUUGGUUGGAGAUGAGGAAUUAAUGUUGUCGAAAUCUUGUAAUAAUAAUAAUAAUUCAAGUAGUGCAUCGGAGGAGACCAGUAAGGGUGGUUCAGGUGGGCUUUGUCUUUCGAGAUCUGAGAAUCGGAUUCGGGCUAGGGAACGAGCUAGAGGGUUAGCCGCGGCUAAAAAAGAUCAAGAUAGUGUUUCGCAAACGACGACUACAACGACUCCUUCAUUUACAGAUCUUCUGACGUCGACGAUGUCUGGUGGAAUUAGAAGAAACAAUGAUAGUUCAAGUACUACUCCUAUGGAUUAUUUUCAAAUGGAACAACAAUUUGGAAACAAUAACAAUUGUAGCCAAUCUCAGCCUCAUUUCUCUUUUUUACAAGAGAAUUUAAGUUAUUCUGGUUACAAUAACAAUAACAAUAAUAGGGGGACCCUUCAGUCCAAUUUAAUGUCUGAUUUGCCUCAUCAUCAUAAUCAUGUUUUCCAGAGGUUUCAACUGCCCAUGGUGGAUAAUAUUGGAUCUACUACUUCUACUUCUUCAAUUUCUCCGUUUUUCCUUGCUCCAAACAUGGGUGGUGCAGCUGGUGGUACUAAUCAAUUUCUGGCAGCCGGUCUUGAGUCGCAGCGACUGCGGCUGUACGGAGGAGAUAGUGGAGGGCACUACUAUGCUGAUCAUCACAAGGAUAAAUCCAAGAGCUAGCUUGCUACAUUUGUCUCCAGCAUAUAUAUGUGGCCGAUCAUAGAAAUCAGGUUUAGAAUCAUAGGUAAACCCAUAUGGUGUCAUAUCGGGUCGUAUUGAAGAUGGUUUAUUGAAGUGUCACACACUCAGUGCCGGUAAUGAGUUUUGAAAGCCCUACGCAAGAUCAGAUGCAAACUUCUGGAGAAAUGAUACUCUUGGGAGAUUCUUCUUUUUAUUCUGCAUAUCUGGAUAUGGAUAAAUGAAGUGGUUGUAACUAAGAACUUCUACAGUUUUUAUUCUUUGAACUACAUCAAACGUGUGCUGAUUAUUUACUUGUCAUUUAUCCCCUCGAGUGGGCACUUUUUUCAUAGUACUAUUAGUAAUAGUAAUACUAUUUCUAAGUCAUGGGAUGAUUUUUGUAUCUUGACAUUAUUCUGUAUACCUCACAUGACCUCUUUUGAACCACAAAAGUUGCAGGA